This 462-nucleotide ribosomal RNA is filed under the name uncultured bacterium. Its description in RNAcentral is "partial 16S ribosomal RNA". It matches the Rfam family "Bacterial small subunit ribosomal RNA", at positions 28 to 507 of the family's 1533-position model. The record is from RNAcentral.
GACGAACGCUGGCGGCGUGCUUAACACAUGCAAGUCGAACGGAAAGGCCCUUCGGGGUACUCGAGUGGCGAACGGGUGAGUAACACGUGGGUGAUCUUCCCUGCACUUUGGGAUAAGCCUGGGAAACUGGGUCUAAUACCGAAUGGGACCACGCGCUUCAUGGUGUGUGGUGGAAAGCUUUGGCGGUGUGGGAUGGGCGCGCGGCCUAUCAGCUUGUUGGUGGGGUAGUGGACUACCAAGGCGACGACGGGUAGCCGGGCUGAGAGGGUGGCCGGCCACACUGGGACUGAGAUACGGCCCAGCCUCCUAUGGGAGGCAGGAGUGGGGAAGAGUGUAUAAUGGGCGGAAGCCUGAUGCAGCGAAGCAGCGCGAGGGAUGACGGGAUUCGGGUUGUAAUCCACUGCCAAUAGGGACGAAGCGCAAGUGACGGUACCUAGAGAAGAAGCACCGGCCAACUACGUG